UCUGAGGCAGAGGCCAUGGAG
Molecule: unclassified non-coding RNA, 21 nt
Filed under: Mus musculus (house mouse)
Lineage: Eukaryota; Metazoa; Chordata; Mammalia; Rodentia; Muridae
Description: oocyte_clustered_small_RNA8872
Source: RNAcentral